AGCAGCCGCGGUAAUUCCAGCUCCAAUAGCGUAUAUUAAAGUUGUUGCAGUUAAAAAGCUCGUAGUUGAAUUUCGGGACCAAUCUGCCGGUCGUGCCUCCGGUACGCACUGGUCUUAUUGGUUUCUCCCUUCUGACGAACCAUGAUGUCAUUAAUUUGGUGUCAUGGGGAAUCAGGACUGUUACUUUGAAAAAAUUAGAGUGUUUAUAGCAGGCUCACGCUUGAAUACAUUAGCAUGGAAUAAUGAAAUAGGACGUUUGACCCUAUUUUGUUGGUUUCUAGGAUCGACGUAAUGAUUAAUAGGGAUAGUUGGGGGCAUUAGUAUUCAAUUGUCAGAGGUGAAAUUCUUGGAUUUAUUGAAGACUAGCUACUGCGAAAGCAUUUGCCAAGGAUGUUUUCAUUAAUCAAGAACGAAAGUUAGGGGAUCGAAGACGAUCAGAUACCGUCGUAGUCUUAACCAUAAACUAUGCCGACUAGGGAUCGGAUGAUGUUAAUUUUUUAAUGACUCAUUCGGCGCCUUA
Molecule: ribosomal RNA, 520 nt
Filed under: uncultured Glomus
Lineage: Eukaryota; Fungi; Glomeromycota; Glomeromycetes; Glomerales; Glomeraceae
Description: SSU rRNA
Rfam family: Eukaryotic small subunit ribosomal RNA
Source: RNAcentral